GGGGGCCGUGGGUUCGGGGCAAUGGCCGUGGCGCUGCACCAGCGCCAGCACCGCCUGGCGCCAGGCGGUCUGUUGUUCGAGGGCGCUGGCGCCCA
RNAcentral lists this transfer RNA (95 nucleotides) under Pseudomonas sp. KU43P. RNAcentral's name for it is "tRNA-Val". Lineage: Bacteria; Pseudomonadati; Pseudomonadota; Gammaproteobacteria; Pseudomonadales; Pseudomonadaceae. The record is from RNAcentral.